This 77-nucleotide transfer RNA is filed under the name Klebsiella pneumoniae. RNAcentral describes it as "tRNA-Arg". It matches the Rfam family "tRNA". From Rfam's summary of the family: Transfer RNA (tRNA) molecules are approximately 80 nucleotides in length. Their secondary structure includes four short double-helical elements and three loops (D, anti-codon, and T loops). Further hydrogen bonds mediate the characteristic L-shaped molecular structure. tRNAs have two regions of fundamental functional importance: the anti-codon, which is responsible for specific mRNA codon recognition, and the 3' end, to which the tRNAs corresponding amino acid is attached (by aminoacyl-tRNA synthetases). tRNAs cope with the degeneracy of the genetic code in two manners: having more than one tRNA (with a specific anti-codon) for a particular amino acid; and 'wobble' base-pairing, i.e. permitting non-standard base-pairing at the 3rd anti-codon position. The record is from RNAcentral. Lineage: Bacteria; Pseudomonadati; Pseudomonadota; Gammaproteobacteria; Enterobacterales; Enterobacteriaceae.
GCAUCCGUAGAUCAGCUGGAUAGAGUACUCGGCUACGAACCGAUCGGUCGGAGAUUCGAAUCCUCCUGGAUGCACCA